UACAGAGGGGGCAAGCGUUAUUCGGAAUUAUUGGGCGUAAAGGGCGCGUAGGCGGCUUGGCAAGUGGAAGGUGAAAUCCCUCGGCUUAACCGAGGAACUGCCUUCCAGACUGCUUUGCUUGAGGCCGGGAGAGGCGAGUGGAAUUCCCAGUGUAGCGGUGAAAUGCGUUGAGAUCGGAAGGAACGCCCGUGGCGAAAGCGAGGUCCUGGGCUCCUGCUGACGCUGAGACGCGAAAGCCAGGGGAGCGAACGGG
RNAcentral lists this ribosomal RNA (253 nucleotides) under uncultured bacterium. RNAcentral's name for it is "partial 16S ribosomal RNA". It matches the Rfam family "Bacterial small subunit ribosomal RNA", at positions 524 to 776 of the family's 1533-position model. The record is from RNAcentral.